GAGAUGUUGGGUUAAGUCCCGUAACGAGCGCAACCCUUGUCCUUAGUUACCAGCACGUUAUGGUGGGCACUCUAAGGAGACUGCCGGUGACAAACCGGAGGAAGGUGGGGAUGACGUCAAGUCAUCAUGGCCCUUACGGCCUGGGCUACACACGUGCUACAAUGGUCGGUACAAAGGGUUGCCAAGCCGCGAGGUGGAGCUAAUCCCAUAAAACCGAUCGUAGUCCGGAUCGCAGUCUGCAACUCGACUGCGUGAAGUCGGAAUCGCUAGUAAUCGUGAAUCAGAAUGUCACGGUGAAUACGUUCCCGGGCCUU
This 314-nucleotide ribosomal RNA is filed under the name uncultured Pseudomonas sp. RNAcentral's name for it is "bacterial SSU rRNA". It matches the Rfam family "Bacterial small subunit ribosomal RNA", at positions 1069 to 1382 of the family's 1533-position model. Lineage: Bacteria; Pseudomonadati; Pseudomonadota; Gammaproteobacteria; Pseudomonadales; Pseudomonadaceae. The record is from RNAcentral.